Molecule: transfer RNA, 69 nt
Filed under: Ostorhinchus fasciatus (broadband cardinalfish)
Lineage: Eukaryota; Metazoa; Chordata; Actinopteri; Kurtiformes; Apogonidae
Also listed under: 1 other name
Description: tRNA-Met
Source: RNAcentral
AGUAAGGUCAGCUAAGCAAGCUUUCGGGCCCAUACCCCGAACAUGAAGACUAAUCCCCUUCCCCUACUA